UGAGUUGACAUUGCCGUGGUGGAGUUACACCUGCAGCCAUGCCACAUGGGUCUGCAUGGGUCAGCAUAACUCCUAUGGGAUCUCAUUUGCAAGAUGAAUGUUCUUGACGGGAAAUGUGAAAUUCAUGGAAGGCAAGCAGAUCAGUGUAAGCAGCUGAAGUUCUAGAAAGUAUGAAUGAAUAUUCUUGAAAAAAAAAGAAAAAAAAAGUUUUCAUCAUAUUUUCAUCAUUCAACUCAGCUAAAAACCUUGCUCUGACUUUGUUGUUCUCCUUGUUGAGAAAAAUGGGCUGCAGUAAGCACAGCUUUUCACACUACAGUUUCCUACAUUUGUGUCGUUCUUUGGGCUUGUAAUUAAAUAUUGAAGAGACAGAGGAAGGAAGUAGAGGGCAAGAAAGACACCGAGUUUACUGAAUACAACAAUUGUUUUUCUAACCCUGUGCAUGUGUGUGGAUGCUUGGUUUGGAAGGCACACCAGAGGGAAGACAAAUCAAUAAAAGCUGUUCUCACAGGUUUGAAAUUAAACAUUUAUAAAGCACUGGUAUAAGGGAGGUUUUGACUUUAUCUGUUUUACAUGUUUUCACUCACAAAAAUUCAGUUUUGAUGAGACCUUUUUCCAGUUUACAAUAGAAGUUAUUUUUUAGAAUUUCUUUGUGGUUAUUGACAUGACUUUCAAAACUGACCAAUGAUUUUGAUUGAGGAAAGAUGUUUAUGUAAAUAUUUUAAAGAACC
RNAcentral lists this long non-coding RNA (728 nucleotides) under Anas platyrhynchos platyrhynchos (common mallard). RNAcentral's name for it is "lncRNA (ENSAPLG00000024152.1)". The record is from RNAcentral. Lineage: Eukaryota; Metazoa; Chordata; Aves; Anseriformes; Anatidae.